GGGCAUUGCCCUAGUGCGGCGAGUGAAGCGGCAACAGCUCAAAUUUGAAAUCUGGCGUCUUUGGCGUCCGAGUUGUAAUUUGCACAGGGCGCUUUGGCAUUGGCAGCGGUCCAAGUUCCUUGGAACAGGACGUCACAGAGGGUGAGAAUCCCGUACGUGGUCGCUAGCCUCUACCGUGUAAAGCCCCUUCGACGAGUCGAGUUGUUUGGGAAUGCAGCUCUAAAUGGGAGGUAAAUUUCUUCUAAAGCUAAAUACUGGCCAGAGACCGAUAGCGCACAAGUAGAGUGAUCGAAAGAUGAAAAGCACUUUGGAAAGAGAGUUAAAAAGCACGUGAAAUUGUUGAAAGGGAAGCGCUUGCAGCCAGACUUGCCUGUAGUUGCUCAUCCGGGUUUUUACCCGGUGCACUCUUCUACGGGCAGGCCAGCAUCAGUUUGGGCGGUUGGAUAAAGGUCUCUGUCAUGUACCUCCUCUCGGGGAGAACUUAUAGGGGAGACGACAUGCAACCAGCCCGGACUGAGGUCCGCGCAUCUGCUAGGAUGCUGGCGUAAUGGCUGUAAGCGGCCCGUCUUGAAACACGGACCAAGGAGUCUAACAUCUAUGCGAGUGUUUGGGUGUCAAGCCCGAGCGCGUAAUGAAAGUGAACGGAGGUGGGAACCUUUCGGGGUGCACCAUCGACCGAUCCUGAUGUCUUCGGAUGGAUUUGAGUAAGAGCAUAGCUGUUGGGACCCGAAAGAUGGUGAACUAUGCUUGAAUAGGGUGAAGCCAGAGGAAACUCUGGUGGAGGCUCGCAGCGGUUCUGACGUGCAAAUCGAUCGUCAAAUUUGGGCAUAGGGGCGAAAGACUAAUCGAACAUC
RNAcentral lists this small RNA (854 nucleotides) under Epicoccum sorghinum. RNAcentral's name for it is "eukaryotic LSU rRNA". It matches the Rfam family "Eukaryotic large subunit ribosomal RNA", at positions 70 to 944 of the family's 3401-position model. The record is from RNAcentral. Lineage: Eukaryota; Fungi; Ascomycota; Dothideomycetes; Pleosporales; Didymellaceae.